GAUGAACGCUGGCGGCGUGCCUAAUACAUGCAAGUCGAGCGAAUGGAUUAAGAGCUUGCUCUUAUGAAGUUAGCGGCGGACGGGUGAGUAACACGUGGGUAACCUGCCCAUAAGACUGGGAUAACUCCGGGAGACCGGGGCUAAUACCGGAUAACAUUUUGAACCGCAUGGUUAGAACUUGAAAGGCGGAUUCGGCUGUCACUUAUGGAUGGACCCGCGUCGCAUUAGCUAGUUGGUGAGGUAACGGCUCACCAAGGCAACGAUGCGUAGCCGACCUGAGAGGGUGAUCGGCCACACUGGGACUGAGACACGGCCCAGACUCCUACGGGAGGCAGCAGUAGGGAAUCUUCCGCAAUGGACGAAAGUCUGACGGAGCAACGCCGCGUGAGUGAUGAAGGCUUUCGGGUCGUAAAACUCUGUUGUUAGGGAAGAACAAGUGCUAGUUGAAUAAGCUGGCACCUUGACGGUACCUAACCAGAAAGCCACGGCUAACUACGUGCCAGCCGCCGCCGUAA
This 515-nucleotide ribosomal RNA is filed under the name uncultured bacterium. RNAcentral describes it as "partial 16S ribosomal RNA". It matches the Rfam family "Bacterial small subunit ribosomal RNA", at positions 28 to 523 of the family's 1533-position model. The record is from RNAcentral.